Synechococcus sp. PCC 7335 is the source of this 71-nucleotide non-coding RNA. The record is from Rfam. Lineage: Bacteria; Bacillati; Cyanobacteriota; Cyanophyceae; Synechococcales; Synechococcaceae.
UAUUGUGUGAGGAGCGAACCAGUUAAGGACACCGAGACGAAACACGGCCAGUCGUCGGUGUCCUUUCUGAU